This 547-nucleotide ribosomal RNA is filed under the name uncultured Glomeromycotina. RNAcentral describes it as "SSU rRNA". It matches the Rfam family "Eukaryotic small subunit ribosomal RNA", at positions 548 to 1098 of the family's 1831-position model. Lineage: Eukaryota; Fungi; Glomeromycota. The record is from RNAcentral.
UUGGAGGGCAAGUCUGGUGCCAGCAGCCGCGGUAAUUCCAGCUCCAAUAGCGUAUAUUAAAGUUGUUGCAGUUAAAAAGCUCGUAGUUGAAUUUCGGGGUUCUUCCGUUGGUCAGGCUAACCAGUCUGUACUAGCGUGUAGAAUUCCUACCUUCUGGGGAACCAUCAUGUUAUUAAUUUAGCGUGGUGGGAAACCAGGACCUUUACCUUGAAAAAAUUAGAGUGUUCAAAGCAGGCUUACGUCUGAAUACAUUAGCAUGGAAUAAUAAAAUAGGACGGUGGUCCUGUUUUGUUGGUUUCUGAAUCACCGUAAUGAUUAAUAGGGAUAGUUGGGGGCAUUAGUAUUCAAUUGUCAGAGGUGAAAUUCUUGGAUUUAUUGAAGACUAGCUUCUGCGAAAGCAUUUGCCAAGGAUGUUUUCAUUAAUCAAGAACGAAAGUUAGGGGAUCGAAGACGAUCAGAUACCGUCGUAGUCUUAACCAUAAACUAUGCCGACUAGGGAUCGGACGAUGUUAAAUUUUAUUGACUCGUUCGGCGCCUUACGGGAAAC